Molecule: ribosomal RNA, 253 nt
Filed under: uncultured bacterium
Lineage: Bacteria
Description: partial 16S ribosomal RNA
Rfam family: Bacterial small subunit ribosomal RNA
Source: RNAcentral
UACAGAGGUCUCAAGCGUUGUUCGGAUUCAUUGGGCGUAAAGGGUGCGUAGGCGGCGCGGUAAGUCGGGUGUGAAAUCUCGGAGCUUAACUCCGAAACUGCAUUCGAUACUGCCGUGCUUGAGGACUGGAGAGGAGACUGGAAUUCAUGGUGUAGCAGUGAAAUGCGUAGAGAUCAUGAGGAAGACCAGUGGCGAAGGCGGGUCUCUGGACAGUUCCUGACACUGGGACACGAAGGCCAGGGGAGCAAACGGG